UGCUCUGGAGUCCAGUCAUGAGUGU
RNAcentral lists this non-coding RNA (25 nucleotides) under Rattus norvegicus (Norway rat). Lineage: Eukaryota; Metazoa; Chordata; Mammalia; Rodentia; Muridae. The record is from RNAcentral.